GGGUAUCAUAAGAGUGGAAUUGACAGCAACCAACACGGUCUAGCUCUUCCCAAGACAAAAUACUGGUGGUUCUUCCCUGAAGAGCCCUGUUGCUGCCCAUGACAUGUGAGCCUCACCUGCAAGAGAGGGAUGUGUUGCUUUCUAUGUUUAUAUUGACUGACAGCCUUGACACUCCACUUUUUACUUCAGCAAAUGGCUCGAUACCUCUCCUUUCUAGCAUAACCUGGAUGGAAGAGGAAGAAGACUCCCAUCGUUUAAGCUCCCAUGGGUUAGAAUAUUCUUGUAGGAUUUGGAAUAUCUACUUUUAAUUGCUGCUUUCCUAAGGAGCCCUAAACAAAACAGUACUAUUUCUUAGGAAAAUGCCUGAAGUAGAUGGUACUUCUGCCUUUAGCAGAUGGGCUGUUUGGCAUAAGUGGGGCAUCAGAUGUGUUUUUUCAGUUCCCACUUUUAACAUCCUUCCUGUUUUAAUGAAAGUUUAAGCAGUCAGAAUGUGAGUGAGAGGGAGAAAACAACUCUUCAGGCUAAUAGUUGCUACACUUAUCUAAGAGGAAGAUGUGUUUUAAUGUAUGUUUAUGAAUUUCAUCUAAAAACCCAGUUUGGAACGUUUUUCCCUAUUUAAUCCUAUAACAUAAAAAUAAAUCCUGUUGUUGGAUCACAACCUUCAACUACAUGCUUGGGUCCCACAGUAUUCCACUGCUCUUAAAACACUUCCAAGUUACUCCCUUUCUUGAAAUUCUCUUUGUCCACAUCCUGUAGGCCUAUAACAUAGUGUUCAGGGGAAACUAGAUUUUGUUAUUGUUGUUAUUUUUGCAUCCUAGAAGGAACAUACAUUCAGGUGUUAAGAGCUGAACCUUGAAGAUUCUUGCGGUCAUUUGAAGAGAUUACCACAUGCAGGCUCUCUGCCCUGUCUUUAGUGGAAGCUUCAAUACCUGGUUCUAGCAGGAAAUGACGGUUCCUUUCUACAGCUGCUGUUCAGAGCUAGAAGCAUUGUCAGGGUUUUGAGUUCAGGAUAAACUGAUACACUUGGUUCAGGUAAAGAGAGAUGUACCUAGCAUGUGGGCUUAGUUACAAGCUAGAUACUGACCUAGAGAGCUCUGCAGGUAUAUUCAAAGAUCCCGUAGCUCUUUCUGAUAAAAUCAGCUGCAAACAGCCGAGGAGUCAGCAUGUUUACUACUGCUACCUGUGCUGGAGGAGCAGUAGCUUCCUUCAGAAGUGUAGGGUAAACAGCAGGGCUGGUCAUAUGUAAAAGUGCUGAAGUAUAAGCCAUGUGAGAAUCUGCAGAAUUGUCUCAGGCUGAAAAAGAAAUUGAAGCAUGCCAUGUCCUCUCAUCUCUGAUGAUUAUGAAAAAAGUUGGUGACCAGUGCACCAGCAGAUAAGCAGCAGAAAUUGAAGACUUCUGGCAGUUUAUUACCAGUCACAGCUCUUCAGAACUCCAACUAAUACUUUGAAGAAUAACAGCAAUUCUGGAACCAGAGUUUCAAAAUAAAUGUGCAUGAAAAUCUGAAGGUCUCUAUCAUGUAGCCCAAGUCUUGAACACUCUCCUGUAGUACCUGUCCCAGUUUUGGGACCUUGACAGGCUCUCUGGUCAUUUUCCAGUGUAGCAAAGGGACUGUAGCAAUUUAGGAACUGGAGCAAGCAGUUUUGCAGGAGAUGCGCAUCCUAAAGGAAGGGGAACAAACAGGGCUCAGGUUCACCGCCUGAGUUGCUCUCACAAGUCUAAAUUGAGGAAUGAAUGCAAGUGGAUUUAAGGACUGCUUCGUAAAAGAGAAAUAUAUUAGUUUCGCCUCCUCUGAAUAUCUAAAGUCCUCUGCAAA
Molecule: long non-coding RNA, 1814 nt
Organism: Pezoporus occidentalis (night parrot)
Lineage: Eukaryota; Metazoa; Chordata; Aves; Psittaciformes; Psittacidae
Exons: 3
Source: RefSeq, a predicted model, not a curated record